RNAcentral lists this ribosomal RNA (439 nucleotides) under uncultured bacterium. RNAcentral's name for it is "partial 16S ribosomal RNA". It matches the Rfam family "Bacterial small subunit ribosomal RNA", at positions 338 to 795 of the family's 1533-position model. The record is from RNAcentral.
CCUACGGGUGGCUGCAGUAGGGAAUAUUGCUCAAUGGGGGCAACCCUGAAGCAGCAACGCCGCGUGGAGGAUGAAGGCUUUAGGAUUGUAACUCUUUUUGUGUGAGAAGAUACUGACGGUCUCUCACGAAUAAGCACAGGCUAAUUCCGUGCCAGCAGCCGCGGUAAUACGGAGGGUGCAAGCGUUAAUCGGAAUCACUGGGCGUAAAGCGUGCGUAGGUGGGCUUUUAAGUCAGAUGUGAAAUCCUGUAGCUUAACUACAAAAUUGCAUUUGAAACUGGGAGUAUAGAGUGUGGUAGAGGUAGGUGGAAUUCGUGGUGUAGGGGUAAAAUCCGUAGAUAUCAAGAAGAAUACUGAUUGCGAAGGCGACCUACUGGAACAUUACUGACGCUCAUGCACGAAAGCGUGGGGAGCAAACAGGAUUAGAUACCCGGGUAGUC